RNAcentral lists this ribosomal RNA (493 nucleotides) under uncultured bacterium. RNAcentral's name for it is "partial 16S ribosomal RNA". It matches the Rfam family "Bacterial small subunit ribosomal RNA", at positions 28 to 506 of the family's 1533-position model. The record is from RNAcentral.
GACGAACGCUGGCGGCGCGCUUAACACAUGCCAGUCGAACGGAAAGGCCUGCUUUCCCUUGUGGAUUGCGGGUACUCGAGUGGCGAACGGGUGAGUAACACGUGAGUGAUCUGCCCCCAACUUGGGUAUAAGCCUGGGAAACUGGGUCUAAUUCCCGAUAGGACUGCAGGGUGGUGCCUGUGGUGGAAAACGAUUUUCUAGUGGUUGGGGAUGAGCUCGCGGCCUAUCAGCUUGUUGGUGGGGUAAUGGCCUACCAAGGCGGCGACGGGUAGCCGGCCUGGGAGGUGGGCCGGCGACAGUGGGCAUGGGGUACGGCCCAGACUCCCAGGGGGGGCCGCAGGGGGGAAUAUUGCCACAGGGGGGGAAGCCAUAGGCGGCGACGCGGGGGGGGGGGUGACGGCCUUGGGGUUGUAAACUCCUUUGGACGGCGGGGAAGCCCCCUGGUUGGAAGGGUGGUGAGGGUAGUUGUAAAAGAAGCACCGGCAAAUUACGG